UGAGUCGUUGGCUUUGUAUCUUCUAACAAGGAAACACUACUUAGGCUUUUAAGAUCCGAGUUUUGUUAUAGUUCUUAUACUCCAUCAUACACAUGACAUCUAGUCAUAUUUGACUCCAAAACACUUACCAAGCUUCUUCUUGCUUCUCAAAACUUUGAUGGUGUAGUCGUAGUCCGUAUGAGUCUUCUUCUUUGUAUCUUCUAACAAUAAU
RNAcentral lists this small RNA (211 nucleotides) under Arabidopsis thaliana (thale cress). RNAcentral's name for it is "ATSL266810". Lineage: Eukaryota; Viridiplantae; Streptophyta; Magnoliopsida; Brassicales; Brassicaceae. The record is from RNAcentral.